Carassius auratus (goldfish) is the source of this 415-nucleotide long non-coding RNA. RefSeq lists it as uncharacterized. The record is from RefSeq and is a predicted model, not a curated record. The transcript has 3 exons. Lineage: Eukaryota; Metazoa; Chordata; Actinopteri; Cypriniformes; Cyprinidae.
GUGUUUCCGGUGAUGCGUAUUUUGAAUGAGAAACGCGCGCCUUGAGGGAGUGGAUCGACAUAGUAUUUUCAGCGUUUAACAACUUAAAUUAUGCCCUGCUCCUCGCACUACUAUUAUAUUCUGCCAGAGUGGACUGCAACUGCAAUGCAUCGUCGUUUGGAUUACUGUGAGGCCAAAACCAGCCGGUUGUGAAUGUGAUGAUGGGCCAAACCUUCAUCACAGCUCAGAAUCAUGGGGCAUUAUGCAUCGUACCAAGCCAGUGUUCACAGCACAGUUCCACCCCGAGGCCAAGGGAGGACCCACAGACACAGAGGUCCUGCAGCACUGUCAAAGGAUUGUGAAGAGUCUGAUCUUUUUAUUUUUCAUGGCUGAAUGUUCUCUCUUGAUCAUGUUGUGUUGAACCCUCUGUAGAGAU